AUGGUUAAGCAAAAGAUUGUCCUCAAGUUAGCUCUGGACGACGAGAGGAAGAGGAGGAAGGCCUUCAAGGCCGCCGUUGGCAUGUCGGGCGUGACAUCCGCAACGAUGGAGGGGGACAAGAUCAUCAUCGUCGGGGACGGCGUCGACCCGAUCACGCUGACCACGAUGCUCCGGCGCAGCCUGGGCUACGCCGAGCUCCUCAGCGUGUCGUCCGGCGACGACAAGAAGAAGGACGGCUACGGCGCCGCCUACGGGUACGGCGGCGGCGAGAAGAAGGACGGCUACGGCGCGGCCUACGGGUACGGCGGGGGCGAGAAGAAGAAGGACGGCUACGGGUACGGCGGCGCCGACGGUGGCGGGAGCGGCAUGAGCUUCGGCGGCAAGGAGGGUGGCGGCUCCAAAGGUGGCGGCGGCGGCGGCGGAUACUCUCAGAACGCGGUUGCGCCGGUCACGUACCCCGCGUACCAGCAGUACAACGCCAUGCCGUCCUACCCGGUUUACUCCUACCCUGCUCCGGCUUAUCAGCAUCAAGAACAGGAUCCCGGCUGCAGCAUUAUGUAG
Molecule: ribosomal RNA, 561 nt
Filed under: Triticum aestivum (bread wheat)
Lineage: Eukaryota; Viridiplantae; Streptophyta; Magnoliopsida; Poales; Poaceae
Description: partial small subunit ribosomal RNA
Source: RNAcentral